UCUACUUUAUCAAAUGAGAGGAACAGCUGUACAAAAGUCAGCUGUUGAUCUGUAUACUACUUUUUGACAUUGGUACCAAAUAGAGCUGCACGACAUGAUAAAAACAAUCAUGUUGAGGCUAUUUUACAACUGCAGUGUGAACUAUGAUUAGUGGGGAUCAUCAUUUUUGGAACACAAUCUUCAUUUUCACAGAAAAAAACUAUUAAAAUCGUGAUGAUGUGACAUUUGUUGUUGUCUCCAUACCAAACAUGUUUUCUUAACAUCUAAUCAGCAGAAUUAGUAGGCCAGGGCAUCCCCUUGUGGCACUGCAGUACUUCAUUGUAAUGAUGUUUUGUCACACAAAACAUUUUACAUUUAUCAAAAAAGUCAAAGGUUGGGCCAGAGUUGCCCCACUGAGCUGCAUACUCGUGACUCAGAAGAGAGAGAAGAAACCAAAGCAUGAGGAGGUGGACAACCUGCCCCCCUUGUCCAUUUACCCACAAGUCCUUAAUGCAGACUGUUCAGCCAGCGCUGCAGAGCACCGCUUUGAGUCUCAUGUGGGCCCACGUAACAGCUUUAAGAAAUCCAUGCCAGUAAACCAGUACACGGAAUGGUGGAGUAACACUGCUGUGGCAAGUCUGCGGGAAGAUGCCUCAGAGUCGUCCGUCCUCACUGCAAUGCAAAAGGUCAUGUCAAAUCUCGUACUGGAAGAGAAGACAGAGGUGGAAGGAAGGCUCAGAGUGUCCCCUGUGCAGAACAGGCCAACUAAGCACCAGAAGCCCAACCAUAGGCCUCAUAAUGCAGUGCUCCCCAUUAAAAACUUCACAUUCUUACCACCGAUUGCAUCACUACAUCUGAAUCCUCAGAGAGUCGGUGGCAAGAGGGCUGCAGAGGGAGAAACCAUGGAUGAGAACUGUUUCAUAUUUGAUCUGAAGGGUGGGGCAAGAGGAACAAGAACGGAACCCGUCGCUAACCUGACCUCCAAGUACCGGACAUGUCAGCAUGACCCCCACUUGUUCUCUGCUGCAAGUAUGUCACUCCACAAGAGGUGUCAAGUACCUGUGUCUUCCAGACGUGACACGGCACACCACACUAGCUUCUCGAUGGGCAGGAGUCUCAAACACCCGGGCACCGCAGCGGGUGCACAAGUCCAUCUGCGCCCAAGUAAGACUGUGUGUGCUGUCAAGAUGUAUGAUGGCUGUGAAAUAAAUGUUUAA
Molecule: long non-coding RNA, 1196 nt
Filed under: Sparus aurata (gilthead seabream)
Lineage: Eukaryota; Metazoa; Chordata; Actinopteri; Spariformes; Sparidae
Description: lncRNA (ENSSAUG00010008808.1)
Source: RNAcentral